GAAAUGCGAUAAGUAAUGUGAAUUGCAGAAUUCAGUGAAUCAUCGAAUCUUUGAACGCACCUUGCGCCUCUUGGCUAUUCCGAGGGGCAUGCCUGUUUGAGUAUCAUGAACACCUCAACUCUUCACGGUUUUUCCGUGAUGAGCUUGGACUUCUGGAGGUUUUGCUGGCCUAUGGUCGGCUCCUCUCAAAUUGAUCAGCUUACCAGUGUUUGGUGGCGUCAUGGGUGUGAUAACUAUCUACGCUUGUGGCCGUCUGCCAGGUAACCUUCAGCGAUGGAGGUUCGCCGGGGCUUACAAAUGUCUCUCCCAAGCGAAGACAGCUUUUUGAACGUUCGAUCUCAAAUCAGGUAGGACUACCCGCUGAACUUAA
This 370-nucleotide unclassified non-coding RNA is filed under the name uncultured Thelephora. RNAcentral's name for it is "sequence contains ITS1". The stretch from base 1 to 106 matches the Rfam family "5.8S ribosomal RNA", at positions 50 to 154 of the family's 154-position model. The record is from RNAcentral. Lineage: Eukaryota; Fungi; Basidiomycota; Agaricomycetes; Thelephorales; Thelephoraceae.